GUUCAAGGGAUGUGGUAUCCAUAGAGUAGAGUCAUGGUAACAGGUUGAAAAAAUGACCCAACUAAUAAAACUACUGUGAUUUUGUGAUAUUUAAUGCAUUGAGACUUCAAUGAAUCUGAUCUUAUUUAUCACUAUGGUACUUCCUCUGCUUGUAUGGAAUCAUUGAAGAUUCUAUGGGAUUCUGGGAUUCUUGUCCAUGUUUUCUCAUUAAUCCACUGGAGUUGGGGAAAAGGAACUAGUGUUUGUUCCUCAACAAGACUUGCAUUAAUAGAACUGUUCAUCCAUUAUCCUUUGCUCUAGCUAUAUGAUGUUACAAAACCAUAUUAAUAAGAAAAUGCCAUGUCAUAAAAGGAGCAAGACUUAUUGACAGGAAUUGGGGCCAAGACUUCUGUACUGAUUUACUGAAUUUCUUUCAACCAAGCCCCUUAAACUCUUGGUCCUUCAACAACAUAUCAGGCUGUUUAAAAAACUCCUGGUCCCAGGGCUACUGUGAGGCAUAGUUUAUAUUUCCCAGAAAGCUUUCAGCAGUGCUAAUGAAUGAAUAUAUUAGUAAAAUGAAAACAAAAUACUUUGGUUUAUAUACUGAUAGCUCAUAAGUUAUCCCCUUUGAAUGUGACUAAUGUAUUUUUGUUUAUUCAUUUGAAGUUUGUUUAUGGCUGAUUAGUUUCAUGGCCCACAGCAUACUGCCUCAAAUUUGUGGAUUUGAAUCCUAUGUGGAAUCUUACAUGAAACAGGAAUGUCCUCUGCAAGUUCAGCAAGCAAAUUGCACAAUUAAAAAGAUGUCAUCCAAGGAUGUGGCGUCUCUGCUAAUGGACUGAUUCAUUGCUGGCUGAGUCAACCAAAUCACUCAUCACCUAACUUGGUACUGCUGUUACCAGCUUUCAGUGCUGAAGAGAGAGAGCUUCCAUGGCUCUUCCAAGCCUCUUUUGAGAGCUCACAAGAUUGUCAUCUAGUCUGUUCCAUCUCAGGGAUUUAAGCAUGUUCAUGCUUAAAGCCUUAAACCAAAGGUUAAAGGUGGAAAGGAAGAACAAGAUAGAAAAACUGUCGUGCCAAAGGGAUCAACAAUUAGUGGACUAGGUUGCUCAUAUUGGUGAUCAAUUAAGAUGUGGGGUAGGCCAAGAAUACAAGGAAAUCAGGAAAUCAGAAACUCAUUAGAAGCAGAAAACUGGAACAAAGUGUCUGACUGAUUGUGUGUAUUUGUGUGUAUUUAUGGAAGACCUCAGAAUAUUAGACCAAAUGUUAUAAAAUUAAGGGAAUUAAAUAUCACUCUUCCUCACAGGAAGCCUCCCUAGUCUUAGAGCUGCAGUUUUGUUUCAGUUGGCUGUUUUGGAAUUUUUUUUUGUCAUAGCUGGUAAUACAAGCUCAUCAAAAGUGAAAAAUGAAGAAUGCGGCUGGAUUCAUAGAUAUGAUCAUGCAGCCUU
This is a long non-coding RNA of Monodelphis domestica (gray short-tailed opossum), 1421 nucleotides long. RefSeq lists it as uncharacterized. The record is from RefSeq and is a predicted model, not a curated record. NCBI's taxonomy places the organism in Eukaryota, Metazoa, Chordata, Mammalia, Didelphimorphia, Didelphidae.